UACGGAGGAUGCGAGCGUUAUCCGGAUUUAUUGGGUUUAAAGGGUGCGUAGGCGGGAUGCCAUGUCAGCGGUAAAAAUGCGGUGCUCAACGCCGUCGAGCCGUUGAAGCUGGCGUUCUUGAGUGGGCGAGAAGUAUGCGGAAUGCGUGGUGUAGCGGUGAAAUGCAUAGAUAUCACGCAGAACUCCGAUUGCGAAGGCAGCAUACCGGCGCCCUACUGACGCUGAGGCACGAAAGCGUGGGUAUCGAACAGG
Molecule: ribosomal RNA, 252 nt
Filed under: uncultured bacterium
Lineage: Bacteria
Description: partial 16S ribosomal RNA
Rfam family: Bacterial small subunit ribosomal RNA
Source: RNAcentral